UGGAUCGUGGCGAACGGGUGAGUAACACGUGAGCAACCUGCCCUGGACUCUGGGAUAAGCGCUGGAAACGGCGUCUAAUACUGGAUAUGAGACGUGAUCGCAUGGUCGUGUUUGGAAAGAUUUUUCGGUCUGGGAUGGGCUCGCGGCCUAUCAGCUUGUUGGUGAGGUAAUGGCUCACCAAGGCGUCGACGGGUAGCCGGCCUGAGAGGGUGACCGGCCACACUGGGACUGAGACACGGCCCAGACUCCUACGGGAGGCAGCAGUGGGGAAUAUUGCACAAUGGGCGGAAGCCUGAUGCAGCAACGCCGCGUGAGGGAUGACGGCCUUCGGGUUGUAAACCUCUUUUAGCAGGGAAGAAGCGAAAGUGACGGUACCUGCAGAAAAAGCGCCGGCUAACUACGUGCCAGCAGCCGCGGUAAUACGUAGGGCGCAAGCGUUAUCCGGAAUUAUUGGGCGUAAAGAGCUCGUAGGCGGUUUGUCGCGUCUGCUGUGAAAUCCCGAGGCUCAACCUCGGGUCUGCAGUGGGUACGGGCAGACUAGAGUGCGGUAGGGGAGAUUGGAAUUCCUGGUGUAGCGGUGGAAUGCGCAGAUAUCAGGAGGAACACCGAUGGCGAAGGCAGAUCUCUGGGCCGUAACUGACGCUGAGGAGCGAAAGGGUGGGGAGCAAACAGGCUUAGAUACCCUGGUAGUCCACCCCGUAAACGUUGGGAACUAGUUGUGGGGACCAUUCCACGGUUUCCGUGACGCAGCUAACGCAUUAAGUUCCCCGCCUGGGGAGUACGGCCGCAAGGCUAAACUCAAGGAAUUGACG
Molecule: ribosomal RNA, 812 nt
Filed under: Microbacterium sp.
Lineage: Bacteria; Bacillati; Actinomycetota; Actinomycetes; Micrococcales; Microbacteriaceae
Description: bacterial SSU rRNA
Rfam family: Bacterial small subunit ribosomal RNA
Source: RNAcentral